Long non-coding RNA from Tarenaya hassleriana, 557 nucleotides. RefSeq lists it as uncharacterized. The record is from RefSeq and is a predicted model, not a curated record. The transcript is spliced from 2 exons. NCBI's taxonomy places the organism in Eukaryota, Viridiplantae, Streptophyta, Magnoliopsida, Brassicales, Cleomaceae.
CCGGAAGUCCUCCCUCCCAGAUGGUCUCCGCCUCCUCCACGGCCGGCUACAUCGUUGGUCCGCUCUCUCGGAGGGCUCGAGGACAUGAUUUGAGGUUUAGGUAAGGAAUGGCCCAACUUAAAAGAUUUUCGAGUUGCAUGAAGCUAAGUGAAUGAACAGAUUCUGUUCAUAUAGGUCGGUCUGUAUCGUCUCCAAUAGGGGCAAAGCAUGAAGAACCUUUGCCGGAUGCCAAGGCUAGAAUAUUUUCGUAAUGGGCCUUAAUGGGCCUUACAAAAGUAUCUGCAUUUUGGGCUCUUAAAUGAGCCUCUAGUUGAAUGUGGUAAUUUCAUGCUCAUUCGUUAAGAUAAUAGGCCAUUGGGUUCUGGCUUUGCCGGAAGGAAAGAAAAACCUUAAAGGGCCUUUAUUGGGCCUAAUGUUCCAACAUUUAAUUGGGCCUAAACGGGCUGAAUCUUGAGAUUGUGUAAUUUCUUGUAGACAUUCAAAAACGUCUUUGCAAAAUCUGGCUUUAGGGCCUGAUGCGAGUGAGGUGUGUACGAUUAAUUAAGAUUCUGCGUUGA